CAACGGCUGGUGUCUGUCGCCGGCUGCCACCUCCUCCGCACGGCAGGGGGGCGCCUUCCUCAUGACACCUGUGCUGCCGUCACAAACAGCUGUUAGUCUGUUGCUGUCUUCUUUCACCUCCCAUCUGACUCGGAUUACCCCGCACGCAGAGUGCCCCGCAUACGGUAUGUUAUUCCAAAGAUUCAGCCGAAUUAAGGACAGAGAGGAGAAAAAGCAGGCAGGGAAGAUUUUCUUAGAUUUCCGUAAUGACGAUGGAUUACCUUUGUAAGCGGAGGCAGAAAGCACCGAUCCUCUUCUAGAACAAAUCAUGGUGCACAAACCUCUGACAUGCUUGAGUGAUUACAACUUAACAACGUUCUGCUGGUGUUUCCUGUGUGCCACCAGGCCAACCCCCAGGAAGGAUCUGGCCUCAUCACAUGGCUGCUCUCGUUCUAAGGAAGAAAAAGAGACCCAGAGAUGGUGAACGACCUUCCUCAAGCUCCAAACCGGUUGUACCAAGUCAGGGCUUGAAGUCAGCUCUUGCAACCUCCACCCAGUACCCUUUGCCCGGCUUCACUAUUUCUCUGAAUCUGAGGUGCUCGGUGUUAUUGCCGUCAUGUUUACAUCUAGGCCUGCCCCAUUUACCCCCGGGGUUUCUCAGCUUCGACGCUAUGGAUAGCGGGGGCCAGAUAAUUCUUUGUGGAGGGGGGCUGCCCUCUGCAUUGUAGAAAGCUUAGUAGCACAUUUGGCCUCUCUCCACUCUUUGCCAGUAGCACCCCUGGUCCCACUCAUGUGACAAUAAAAAUGUCCCCAGAUAUUGCUGAAUGUCCCUUGGGGGGCAUAGUCAUCCCGGGUUGGGAACGAGUGAUUUACUCUCGGUGAAAAUUCAUAUCCAUUCAGCGGACUUCUCCUUUGGACCUUUGUCCUACCUGUUCAUAGUUUACUAGAGUCUGAGAGGUUUAUGUCCAAAAAAGAAAAUCCUGCACAAACCUCUGGCCUGUUCCUUGGGCUUUACCACAGCUCAACCCUGCUCUUGCUGUGUGGCUGCUAAAGGGAUCCUGGGGGUCAGAGUAGGAGGCUGCGUGAUGGCUUUGCCACCUUUGCUGCUAUCCAGUUCCAGUCUCAUCCUUAGCCAAGCUUCCUUGUGUCCCACCUGCUUUUCCAAGGUCUGGGCCCUGCCCACCUGGAGGCAGUCUUUGUCCAUGUCUCUCCCCGUGGUGCAGGGACCUUGUCUGGAUGGCCCUGGCUUCAGGAGUAGAGGGACACCCCUUGGGUAGCCCUGCGGGGGCAGGGAGCCAGCACUGCGCUCGCAUCAGAAAACCUGCCUGUGACUCCUAGCCAUCUGAUGUGUCCUAUCUUGUAGGAUUGUUGGGAACACAAAACGAGAUGAUAGAUAUAAAGGGCUUAGUGCCAUAUCUGGUCAAGCCACCCUCGUUGUCAUCACUGCCACAAAGCCACUUGACCUUUCAGGCCAACAUCCUCAUCUGAAAAAGGAAGGGAUUGGGUUGGGUUAACUUCUAAGGUUUUCUUCAGCGUCAGCUUUCAAAGACUAUUUGGUUGCUUCAACUGUAAGACGGAGCAGUUAUAACUCCUUAUGAGGUUGUGGCACAAAUAACAUACUAUGG
Long non-coding RNA from Felis catus (domestic cat), 1604 nucleotides. RefSeq lists it as uncharacterized. The record is from RefSeq and is a predicted model, not a curated record. Lineage: Eukaryota; Metazoa; Chordata; Mammalia; Carnivora; Felidae. The transcript is spliced from 3 exons.